This 352-nucleotide unclassified non-coding RNA is filed under the name soil metagenome. Its description in RNAcentral is "partial contains 5.8S ribosomal RNA, internal transcribed spacer 2, and large subunit ribosomal RNA". The stretch from base 1 to 120 matches the Rfam family "5.8S ribosomal RNA", at positions 35 to 154 of the family's 154-position model. The record is from RNAcentral.
GAUGAAGAACGUAGCGAAAUGCGAUAAGUAAUGUGAAUUGCAGAAUUCAGUGAAUCAUCGAAUCUUUGAACGCACAUUGCGCCCGCCAGUAUUCUGGCGGGCAUGCCUGUUCGAGCGUCAUUACAACCCUCAGGCCCCCGGGCCUGGCGUUGGGGAUCGGCGGAAGCCCCCUGUGGGCACACGCCGUCCCUCAAAUACAGUGGCGGUCCCGCCUCAGCUUCCAUUGCGUAGUAGCUAACACCUCGCAACUGGAGAGCGGCGCGGCCAUGUCGUAAAACACCCAACUUCUGAAUGUUGACCUCGAAUCAGGUAGGAAUACCCGCUGAACUUAAGCAUAUCAAUAAGCGGAGGA